CCCAGAUCCAGAGCGCUUUUGAGAUUGGCCUUAAUACCGCACUGGAAUGCUUCACUGCCCCAUCUGCGUCUGACUCCCCCUUUCCUCCGGUGUCCUAACUGACACAUCUGGCAGGUCUUGAAUCUUAACGCCUGGCACCCACCUGCCGCAGAUGUUAGACGCUCCCCUCUGAGCAAUGCUUAUAAACAAGACUGCAACUGAGAGUUUCCAAGCAGUAAUAAGCAACAUCUGUACUUCUGUACUGUUGUAUGCUCCACCCAACACUCCUACGCUCAUUUAACUCUUCAGCCAUCUGAAGAGGUUGGCAGGCAGAGGACAGUGGCCUUGUCUGGCUUAUUUCACAAAUGCAAGAUCUCCACCAUGAAUCGGUCUCCAGAAAGAAAAAAAAAUCCUAAGACAAUGAUGUGAAUGGAGACAGGUCACUGGGAGUCAUCGUUGGGGAGUCUAACAAGGAAAGGACAGUGGCUGUAAGUUACGACCAACCUCUCAGGAGUGACUCUCUGCCAGCCUGGCUGCUAAAUCACGGACACCAGCGUAAUUGAAACAGAAAAUCACGCCCGGCAGAACAGCCUAGCAACACCACUAUUAGCAGCUGUGGCUCUCCACUUCGAACCAGGGAGCUAAUACGCCUCUUUAUGCAUGCGCAGGCACUGCCAGAUAUAUAUCUUCACCAAUGUUUUCAUAGGGACUGGGCCUUCCCACUCCUUCCUGCCACCACGAAGCUGCUCACUCUGGGAAGACCGAACUUGUCUGUGGUACCUAAGGCUGCCCCACUGUGGGGCUGAUGCAAAACUCUUCUUCCCUCCCCCCUCCCUCCUUUCCUUCCUCCCUUCUUCCCCUUCUCGUCCAUCACUGAGCUUACGGUGGUGCUGAGGAAGCUGAAAACAGAGCAAUCACACAAACCUGGAGGUAAACUGCACCAAUUGCCCUAAUCAAGCAAGCUGCUCUCCAAAGGGAUCUGACACCUUGGAAUGAAGGAGGUCACGGUGAGAAAGGGAUAAAGAAACCAGGGUACAGGGAGAGAAGACUGUUCUACACGCCUACAGCUGGAACAAAGGUACUAAGCUAGAGGGAGCUCAGCCUGUGUGGUGAGCCAGAGGAGGGUGGUUCAGGGCCAGGGCAUGAGGAGUGGAGGAUAACUGUACAACUUAAAAGUGCCUGGGAGAUACUCCCGGACCUGCUAGGGAGUCCCUGUGCCUGGCUCCAGUUGUUAGCUCUCCAGUCCCAAAUUUCCACUUUCAAUCACCAUUAUAACCAUGCUCACAAAGAGGGGACUGUUGGAAAGUGGUUGUACUUUGUGCUUUCACAAUGAUGGAGAAGCAUUCCUGGCAUCUGAUAAAGCAGGGAUGGGCGUACAGGAGGUCAGGAAGACGUGGUACGUGACGUUGUGCCAGAUACCGAAUUUCAUUGCACAGCUCAGCAUGUGUGUGUGUGUGUGUGUGUGUGUGUGUGUGUCCCUGAUGUGUGCACAUAUGUGUGUUAGAGGUCAAUUCUAGGUGUCUUCUAUCACUCUCCACCUUAUUUUUUGAGACCGAGUCUCUUCUUGAACCUGGGGCUUGCUUGCUGUUUUAGCCUAUGGAGCCCCCAGUUUCUGUCUUUCUCCAUCCCCCAGGCUCUCAGCUCUGAGAUCACAGACAUACAAUGCCAUGCCUUGGUCAUUUGGGGAGAUGAGGUUUCUGGCCUUCGGUUUCCAUACUUGUGCAGCAAACACAACUUUAUCCACUGUCUCCCCAGACGCGCCCGAGUUGUGGUUUCUGAGCAGAUUUCAUGGAGUGGAAAACUCAAUUUUGGGUUCUCUGGGACACGAUGUUUGUAAUAUAUGAUUGUACAUGUAUAUAUGAUGCUUGUAAUAUGAUUGUCAGUAUAUAUUGAUACCCCUUCCUUCAAACCGCAGGCCUAACCUCCUUACCUGGUCAUAAACAGUCAUGGAGGCUCUCAUCUAAGGGAAAACAUUUGGUAGAGAGAUGAAGCUGAGCAAUGAAGAAUGGUUCUGUCAGAUGGUUCAGUGGUUAGGAGUACUUCCUGUACAAACAGGAGGAGGGCGGGGGUUCAGAUUGCAGGACCCACGUAAGAAGACAGUAUCCUGCAUCCAUCUGUAACUCCAGCUCUAAGGACAAUGGAGAUAGACUCCUUGGGUUGGCUGACUUCCAGCCUAGAGACCCCUCCUCAAAACAAAAGGAGAAAAAGAAAGAGAAACCCUGAGGCCUUCUUCCGGCUUCUGUGGGCACAGGCAAACACAUGUAUGCAGCGGCUCCUACACUCACACAUGCACACAAACAAAUAAAUAAUUAGGAAAAGAAUAGUUCUGUGUGCCUCUAAUCUCUUGAGAGGCUCACUCUGGGGAUGCCAGUGGCCAUGCUGUGGCAGCAUUCUAGCCGCCUUGCAGGAAGCUAGAACUGAAGCUGCCUGCCACAGCCAGCGCUGACCUGCCCGUUGUGGGGCCGUUGUACUUUGGAUCUUCAAAGGCCCCUGUGCUUAAGACCUGGUUCUAAACCUGUGACGCUUUCGUCAGGCACUUGGAUGGAGAAGAGGUAGGGCCUGGUGGGAGGAAGGUGGCUGCUGGUGUCCGGUAUGGCUUGGAAGGGGAUAAUGGAAUUCUGGCCCCUUCUUUGCUCUCCUUUGUUACCUGGCCACCAGGAGAGAAGCUCUCCCUGCCACAUCUCCCCUGCCAUGAUAUGCGAUGCCACUAUGUCCUCCAGAAUAAUGGGCCAGCUGAGCAGGGAUGCAGCUUCUCACACUGAGCCAAAACAAACCUUUCCUCCUCUGAUGCGGAAUUCUGUCAAGUACUUUGUGGCAGUGGCAGAGAAUGUACACAGUUAUCUGAGCCACCCAGGAAGGAGACAGACUGUGUGGCCAGCCCAGGCAAGCAUUCAGAUGACUGAGGCCUCAGCCUGUGGGGAGAGAAGGGGGUUCAGACACCAUGGAUCAGACACUAGCUGUCUCCUGUGCCCCAUCUCCUCUUCUCUCCUACACACAGGCAAAGAAUGUUUCUUCAACAGUUUUAGUAUGUAUGGAAACUUCUAGAAGUAUACCUACUGUGUAAGCCAAGGGGACACAUGCAUUUAGUUUUGUUUGUGUGUUUUGUGUAUGGGACAUAGGGUCCCACUAUGGUGCCUAGGUUGUUCUGGAAGUUGCUAUGUAGCCCAGGCUGGCCUUGAACUCACAAUUUUUCUACUUCUACUUAAAUACUGGGAUUACAGGGGUGUGUGUGUGUGUGUGUGUGUGUGUGUGUGUGUGUGUGUGUGUGCGCGCCACCGUGCCCAGUUUUUACUAAAAGCUGUUUGAAAGGGAUUAAAAUAUCAUGAUAUGUCGUCAAGUGUGUCACUUGUCACACUUACAGCUGCUCCCUUACAGUUACUCUUCAAGUACGUGAGGUGCAGUGGAACUGGGCUGUGUGUGUUGUACAGUUGUAGCCAUUUGUUUUCACUGGGACGGAUAAGAACCUGACCCUUUCCUGAUGUCCCUCCAGGCAUCCGAGCCUCUGUAUACAGGGCCAUAAAUAGCACUUCUUCAGUUCCUUCAUCCUGGAGUUGGACUGUUACAUCUAUUUUUAAAACUCAUGAGUAGGCACUUUCUGUUUUUAAAGGAGAUUUCAUUUCCUGUUAGUGAAGGGACAUUAUAAAAUACCAGUCAAGGAAAAGAGUGUGGGACUCUGGGGCACUUCCUAGAGAAUACUUUACUGGCCUAGGAAAUUAUGAUUGUUUGUUCUUCGGCUUCUAGAACAAACCCCUUGGCAACCUUCAGAAUUAUUCCCUCCUGUCUGACUCGAGGAAUUUUCUUCUUGAGCUCCAGGAGCCUUCUGCUGUCCCCCAACAUUCUGCACUUUCUACUUCCCUCUAUAGUGCUUUCUUAUCUUGACCUCUCUCUUUCCCCUUGCCUUUUGAAAUCUCUUUCAUUCCAUCCUAACACAGUCACUCUACAAACAAAUACAGAGCACACAUGUCUAUGUCUAUACACAUGGGGCUCCAGCACGGGGACAGGAGCCAGUUGCCUGUCACCCUCCCCAGAACUUGGGAGAGAUUACUCUGCUCAUUGAAGACAUAUUUGAAAACUAAUACACGCAGAGAGAGAACCCCCAACAGGCCUUUCAUCUUCGCUCUCUCCUGAAUUGCUCUCUGCCAGCAUUCCGGGUUUCUCUUGUUAUAGAUACACUGUAGCAACCUCAGAGCUUUCUGCAUAGCCUGAAGGCUCAGCAACACAGCCAGUCUUUCCUCCUUCUAGCCUGAACAGCUCCAGAAGCAUUCUCUACUGUUUGCACACACCUGAUAUGUGAGUGCACCUGCCAACUCUCUCCACACUCCCUAGCAGAGGGGGAUUGGUACUUGCUGCCACUUCUCUUCCCUGAGGAGUGAAGACAGCAUGGGAAAUUUAGACCCUGGGCUGCUUCUCUUCAGAGACCACCCUGCUAAGUAAUGGGUGACUCCAGGUAACCAGGACCAUUAAGACACCGAAAUACCCCACUGCCUCUUUCUCUGUGCUUAGCAACAGCCCACUGCGUCUAUUAACUCCCUGAUAAUUGCCUGCCCUCUGCCUUCUUCCUGAGGGCUGGUGUAGUUCAAGGACCCUCCCAGAGACUGCUUCGUCGGCAUUUUUCGAGGGGCUGACUUUGGAAGACACAAACACAUAUACACACAUUCAUAUGGAAACAUGUGUUUACACACAAAUAUAGACAUAUACACACAAGAUACAGGAGAAAGCUUUUUCAGAUGUGCUCACAAAUGUGCUGCAAGAAGCAGCCUUGUAAAACCAUGCUGAACUUUACUUAUGUUGUAAAAAAACCAAACAAACAAAAACAAGACAGAUUCUCUAGAAGGUUCCUGUAGCCCCUCUUCUCCAAUCCCAUCCAGAUCUUUCCAGAUAAGAUAAUUUGGAAGGGAGCCAGCACGGACACAUUUCUGGCCACAAGAGGGCACUCUGCAAUCCCCAAAACAGGAUAUUUGUGGCUUCUUUCUUCUCUCUUUCUUUCUUUCUUCCUUUCUUUCUUUCUUUCUUUCUUUCUCUCUUUCUUUCUACCUUUCUUCCUUUUUAAAGAACCGGCAUAUGCGUAUGGACCCAGGCUAACAGUCAACAGACAAUCCAUCUUGCAGAGACAGUGGUGGCAAAUGGAUUUUUAGAUAAGGGAGGGAAGCCAGGCACGGCAGCUGUCAAGAGGGGUGAAGUGGAGACGGGGGUUUUGUUCUUUCUUGCAGGUGGAUCGUGGAGAGCCUCGGUUUUGUUUGUCCUUACUCAGUAGGUAGCAAAUUCCAGCCCUGAGGUUCUUAACUGGGGUUGUCAAUAGUGUGCCCUCUUCCACCCUAUUGCCUCCAGCCACUGAGCUUAGGAAAACCCUUGUCAGCUCUGCAGCAGGACUAAGCCAGGGUUCAGACAGCAAGUGGUCCAAGUCACUGUUCUGAACUUCUGGUCUACUCAGAGACAAAUUGGUGACCAGCUCGGUUUGGCAGAGGUUGCUACAGUUCCUGGUAGGAAAGGCAGCUUGGGAUAUCAGCUGCCACCUUUUCUCCAUCUAGACCAAGGCGGUGUUCCCUAGUGGCACAGCCUCAGAUGCAGAGUGUGCUCUAAUGGUUAUUUGGAAAGGACUCCAGAAACUACUUACGGUGGGGAUUGAAGGACAAGCCACUAGAUGUUCUCUCAUGAAAGUUACUACUGUGAGAGCUCAAUUCCACUGGGAAACUCCUGAGCCAGUGCAGGACAUGGGCCACUCCCAGAGCUGUCGUUAGUUUUCAGCUGAGAGAUUCAAGGGGAGUGGGACUGGCAGGAGGCCCCGGCCAUUGCACACAGUCCUUAGGCGAACAUGCAAAAUGUGUAAGUCUGAGGAGCCGUGGGCGGGCACAGGUGGCUUCGUCCACCUCCUGCCUCCCUGAUUGCUUCAGUCAGCCAACACAGACUGCUCACGUCUCUUUCCUGGCUCUGACAUCGGCACUAGGGCAUCUCAUGUCUCCCAGGUUUUCUCAGAGCUCCGGCCAGGGCUCGGCAAAUUGACACCCUGUAGCAUUAGAGAUACCCAAUCAUUAGAGAUACUUAUUAUGCCAUUGGGGAGAGGAGGCAGACUCGCCCACAUGGGAAGGAAGCUAGCUGCAGAGCUCUUGGCUUUGGGGGGCUGGAAUCACAUACUAGGUAGAUGUUGGUGUGGCUCCACGGGGUGCUGGGUCGGAGUCAUGCUGUGUCUAAGAGUUGAGGCCAUAGGACCUCACUGCAAAGACAGUGCUGCGGUUCUCAACCUGUGGGUCGAGCUGUCUUUUGGGGGUCCUGUGUCAAAUAUCCUGUAUAUCAGAUAUUUACACUACGAGUCAUAACAGUAGCAAAAUUACAGUUAUGAAAUAGCAACAUUAAUAAUUUUAUGGUUAAAGAAUAUCAUAACACUAGAAACUGUUUUAAAGGGUUGAGGGAGUAUUAGGAAGGCUGAGAAUCACUGGC
This is a long non-coding RNA of Rattus norvegicus (Norway rat), 6414 nucleotides long. RefSeq lists it as uncharacterized. NCBI's taxonomy places the organism in Eukaryota, Metazoa, Chordata, Mammalia, Rodentia, Muridae. The record is from RefSeq and is a predicted model, not a curated record.